RNAcentral lists this ribosomal RNA (192 nucleotides) under uncultured bacterium. RNAcentral's name for it is "partial 16S ribosomal RNA". It matches the Rfam family "Bacterial small subunit ribosomal RNA", at positions 1307 to 1500 of the family's 1533-position model. The record is from RNAcentral.
GCAACUCGACUACAUGAAGCUGGAAUCGCUAGUAAUCGCGGAUCNGAAUGCCGCGGUGAAUACGUUCCCGGGUCUUGUACACACCGCCCGUCACACCAUGGGAGUCGGAAAUGCCCGAAGCCAGUGACCCAACGAAAGAGGGAGCUGUCGAAGGCAGGUCUGAUAACUGGGGUGAAGUCGUAACAAGGUACC